This 253-nucleotide ribosomal RNA is filed under the name uncultured bacterium. RNAcentral's name for it is "partial 16S ribosomal RNA". It matches the Rfam family "Bacterial small subunit ribosomal RNA", at positions 524 to 776 of the family's 1533-position model. The record is from RNAcentral.
UACGUAGGGCGCGAGCGUUGUCCGGAAUUAUUGGGCGUAAAGAGCUCGUAGGCGGCCUGUUGCGUCCGCUGUGAAAUCCCAGGGCUCAACCCUGGGCGUGCAGUGGAUACGGGCAGGCUGGAGGCAGGCAGGGGAGAACGGAAUUCCCGGUGUAGCGGUGAAAUGCGCAGAUAUCGGGAGGAACACCUGUGGCGAAAGCGGCUCACUGGACCACAACUGACGCUGAUGCACGAAAGCUAGGGGAGCAAACAGG